RNAcentral lists this ribosomal RNA (253 nucleotides) under uncultured bacterium. Its description in RNAcentral is "partial 16S ribosomal RNA". It matches the Rfam family "Bacterial small subunit ribosomal RNA", at positions 524 to 776 of the family's 1533-position model. The record is from RNAcentral.
UACAGAGGGUGCAAGCGUUGUUCGGAAUUACUGGGCGUAAAGGGUGCGUAGGCGGUCGGGUAAGUCUGACGUGAAAUCUCCAAGCUCAACUUGGAAAUGGCGUCGGAUACUAUUCGGCUGGAGGAAUGGAGGGGAGACUGGAAUUCUCGGUGUAGCAGUGAAAUGCGUAGAUAUCGAGAGGAACACCAGUGGCGAAGGCGAGUCUCUGGACAGAUACCGACGCUGAGGCACGAAAGCUAGGGGAGCAAACAGG